RNAcentral lists this ribosomal RNA (357 nucleotides) under uncultured Bacteroidota bacterium. Its description in RNAcentral is "bacterial SSU rRNA". It matches the Rfam family "Bacterial small subunit ribosomal RNA", at positions 49 to 398 of the family's 1533-position model. The record is from RNAcentral. Lineage: Bacteria; Pseudomonadati; Bacteroidota.
UAACACAUGCAAGUCGUGGGAGAAGCCGGCCCUUCGGCGGCCGGUGGAGACCGGCGGAUGGGUGAGUAACGCGUAGGCAACCUGCCUGCAGGGCGGGGAUAACAUCUCGAAAGGGGGGCUAAUACCCGAUGAUGCAGCGGUCCCGCAUGGGAACAGUUGUUAAAGGCUUCGGCCACCUGCAGAUGGGCCUGCGUGCCAUUAGCUAGUUGGUGGGGUAACGAGCCCACCAAGGCGAUGAUGGCUAGGGGGUCUGAGAGGAUGAUCCCCCACACUGGGACUGAGACACGGCCCAGACUCCUACGGGAGGCAGCAGUGAGGAAUCUUGCGCAAUGGGGGCAACCCUGACGCAGCCACGCC